This 3345-nucleotide long non-coding RNA is filed under the name Capsicum annuum. RNAcentral's name for it is "long non-coding RNA (CANN_LNC019781)". The record is from RNAcentral. Lineage: Eukaryota; Viridiplantae; Streptophyta; Magnoliopsida; Solanales; Solanaceae.
AGUCUUGGAAAUAAUAGUUUCACUGGUUCCAUUCCUGCAUCAUUUUCUAAUAUUUCCACACUCGAGACUUUGAAUCUGAAUUUCAAUUUCAUAGAGGGCCAAAUACCAAAAGUGAUUGGAAGUCUUAUAAACCUUAGAGAACUAAACUUGAUGGGUAACAAGCUCAUAGGGUUUAUUCCUCCGUCUAUCUUUAAUGCCUCGAGGUUGGAGACUUUAGAAAUAUCUGGCAAUUCACUUGAAGGGAACAUUCCAGAAGGGAUCGGCAAUCUUCACAACAUGAACUGGUUGUCCAUACAAGAUAAUCACCUUGAGGGUUCUAUACCAUUCUCCAUUUUCAAUAUUUCUAGAAUCGAAUUCAUUGCAUUUACAAACAAUUACUUAUCUGGAGAUCUUCCCAAUGGUUUAUGCAAUCGUCUUCCAAGACUUAAAGGUCUUUAUCUAUCCAAAAACAAGAUUCAUGGUCAUAUACCUACAAGCUUAUCAAAUUGUUCACAACUUCAACUGUUGUCUUUAUCAUAUAAUGAUUUUGAUGGACCAAUACAUAGUGAAAUUGGAAGAUUAACUAAUCUGCAGUUCUUGGUUCUCGGAUUUAACCAUUUAACUGGUAUGUUUGAUCUUAUGAAUGCUAGUACUAUUCUAUCAAAUUACUUCAGAAUUUUUUUUGAUUACAUAUUAACUGCAGGGAUAAUUCCAAAAGAAAUUGGAAAUCUUGUUAAUUUGGCGGAGUUAUGGGUGGAGAGCAACCAGCUUAACGGCUCUGUCCCAAUCUCCAUGUUCAAUAUCUCAUCGCUGCAAAUUUUGUCACUUUGGAGAAACAAUCUUAGUGGAUUCGUACCACGGGAGAUUGGCAACUUAACCAAGAUGCAACUUUUAUAUCUUAGCGAAAAUAGGCUUACUGGUACGUACGUAUUCAAAGUGAUUGCAAAGAAUACAACUUAUAUUAGAUUGAACUGACUAGUUAAUCCUUCUUUCGAUAAGUAUUUGCAGGUGAAAUACCCAAAGAGAUAAACAAUCUCACUGAGUUGGAGGAACUUACUCUUAGUUAUAAUAGAUUUAGUGGUACACUUGAUAUGGAAAUCUUCAACAUAUCAGGUUUGAGAAUAAUUUCACUUUCAACCAACAAUCUAUCUGGAAGCCUACCACCAAACAUAGGUUCUAUCUUACCAAACAUUGAAAAACUUUAUCUGCAUACCUUAACUAAUCUUGUUGGGACUAUUCCUAAUUACAUCUCCAACUGUUCAAAACUUACUGAUCUAGAGCUUUCAGACAACAAACUCAGUGGCUUGAUUCCCAAUUCUCUUGGAUAUUUGACUCAUCUACAGGUCCUACAAUUGAGCAGAAACAAUUUAACCAGUGACUCCUCGUUAAGCUUCUUCACUUCCUUAACCAAUUGCAGAAAUUUAACAUCUCUUGAUAUAUCUUCGAACCCCCUAAAGGGCAUGCUUCCAGCCUCCCUGGGGAACUUCUCCACAUCUCUUGUAGAUUUUUACACAGACGGUUGCAAAAUAGAAGGGCAAAUUCCAAAUGAAGUUGGGUACUUAAGCAGCUUAGUAGACCUUGAUCUUUCUGGAAAUAACUUGGCUGGAUUGAUUCCCACAUCAUUUGGCAACUUGACAAACCUUCAGCGUUUCUACUUGAGUAACAACAAAUUUACAGGAUUUAUUGGAGAUAAUCUUUGUAAAUUUCAGCGACUGGGUGCUAUUUACUUGGGUCAAAAUCAACUUUCAGGAUCUCUUCCGAAUUGUUUGAAUCAAAGUGUGAUUUCACAAACUAAAUGUCUUUGAAAGGUUCACUGCUUUUCUUUGGUUUUUGUAUUUCUUUCGUCACUUUUUUCAUAUACAGAGGAAGAAUGAACUUCAAAUAUAUUGGGGAAGGGAAACAGUUUAUGUUUGUAACUGUUCUCCCAAGUUUCAAAAAUGCAACAUUAUCUCUUUCUUUUCAACUUUUUUCCAGAUAAUCUAAAAACAAAAAUCGGGUCAAGUCAGGUCGGUCCAGCGACCCAUAACCCAUAAACCAACAAAAACGUUCAGCCAUUUUGAAGUAACCACUCCAGAAAUUGUACACUUACAUAUUGAGCAUCUUUACACUUGAUUAUAAAAAUAUUGGACCACUCCUUUCCAAGUCAAACACUAACUAUACUUCUUUCUUGGUCUACCACUUAAAAGUUUUUUUCCAAGACACACGCUAACUAUAUGUCAUCUAACAUUUAAUGACAUCGGCGGAUUUCGGAUUAGAAUUUUAUGGGUUUAAUCUUUGAAGGUUUUAGUAUUGAACCUAUUGUAAUUGUAAAACUAUGAGUUUAAACUUAUUCUUUGGUGCAAUUUAAUAAAGUUUUAUAGAUAAAUUUAUCUUUGCAUCAAAAAUACUGGAUUCAAAUGAACACGAUAUUUCUGUGAUGCAUCCUCCACUAAUAAUGGAAAUCAUUGUUUUGCUUGUCAUGGCCGAGAAUUUUAAUGGAGCUGUGCACAAAUAACUUUUGCUAAAGUUGUGGCUAUUAACUAACUCACCUCAUCACAUGCUCUACAUAACUGAAAAAUUCAAUGGACAUCCCUUUCCUAUUUAAAGUUUCAAAACAACAAUGUUAUUGGCCAUAACAAGUUCCUUCUAAUUUAUGCAAGCAUGGACAAAGCAUUCGCCUUUUUACUCUUAACAUUCGUGCUACUUCACUAUGUUAUGGCUAGUUCGGCCGCGACAAAAACCAACAUUUCCACCGAUCAAUUGACUCUUUUUUCUUUGAAAUCCCAAAUCAUUUCAGACCCCUUUCACUUAUUGGAUGAAAGUUGGUCCCCAGCUACUUUUGUUUGUCAUUGGGUCGGAAUCACUUGUAGCUCUCGUCAUCAGAGAGUGAAAUCUUUAAAUCUUUCAAACAUGGCUCUUACAGGCAUAAUUCCUCGGGAAUUUGGAAACCUGACAUUUCUUGUUUCUCUUGACUUGGGAAACAACAAUUUCAAGGGAAAUUUACCUCAAGAAAUGGCACGCUUGCAUCGGCUUAAGUUUCUUGAUUUAAGUUUCAACAGCUUCAGAGGGGAUGUUCCUUAUUGGCUUGGGUUUUUACACCAACUUCAAUUUCUAAGUCUUGGAAAUAAUAGUUUCACUGGUUCCAUUCCUGCAUCAUUUUCUAAUAUUUCCACACUCGAGACUUUGAAUCUGAAUUUCAAUUUCAUAGAGGGCCAAAUACCAAAAGUGAUUGGAAGUCUUAUAAACCUUAGAGAACUAAACUUGAUGGGUAACAAGCUCAUAGGGUUUAUUCCUCCGUCUAUCUUUAAUGCCUCGAGGUUGGAGACUUUAGAAAUAUCUGGCAAUUCACUUGAAGGGAACAUUCCAGAAGGGAUCGGCAAUCUUCAC